Tachyglossus aculeatus (Australian echidna) is the source of this 139-nucleotide small nucleolar RNA. NCBI's taxonomy places the organism in Eukaryota, Metazoa, Chordata, Mammalia, Monotremata, Tachyglossidae. The record is from RefSeq and is a predicted model, not a curated record.
CCCCUCUAAGAGUCACACCUAGAGAGUUUCUAGUACUCUACCAGUCUCGACUGUGGAAGGGAGAGUCAAGCAGAGGCAUAUCCCUUCCAUUCCUAGCUUGGGGAAGUAACUAGUGAGUGGAAGACAAUCUGCUACAAGU